RNAcentral lists this ribosomal RNA (407 nucleotides) under uncultured rumen bacterium. RNAcentral describes it as "bacterial SSU rRNA". It matches the Rfam family "Bacterial small subunit ribosomal RNA", at positions 354 to 776 of the family's 1533-position model. The record is from RNAcentral.
GUGGGGAAUAUUGCACAAUGGGCGAAAGCCUGAUGCAGCAACGCCGCGUGAAGGAUGAAGGUCUUCGGAUCGUAAACUUCUGUCCUAAGGGAAGAAACAAAUGACGGUACCUUUGGAGGAAGCCCCGGCUAACUACGUGCCAGCAGCCGCGGUAAUACGUAGGGGGCAAGCGUUAUCCGGAAUUAUUGGGCGUAAAGAGUGCGUAGGCGGUUUCUUAAGCGCGGGGUGAAAGGCAGUGGCUUAACCAUUGUUAGCCUUGCGAACUGGGAGACUUGAGUGCUGGAGAGGAAAGCGGAAUUCCUAGUGUAGCGGUGAAAUGCGUAGAUAUUAGGAGGAACACCAGUGGCGAAGGCGGCUUUCUGGACAGUAACUGACGCUGAGGCACGAAAGUGUGGGGAGCAAACAGG